GACGUAGGUGGCGAACGUUAUUCGGAAUCACUGGGCUUAAAGGGUGCGUAGGCUGCGCAGCAAGUUGGGUGUGAAAUCCCUCGGCUUAACCGAGGAACUGCGCCCAAAACUGCUGUGCUCGAGGGAGAUAGAGGUGAGCGGAACUUAGGGUGGAGCGGUGAAAUGCGUUGAUAUCCUAAGGAACACCGGUGGCGAAAGCGGCUCACUGGAUCUCUUCUGACGCUGAGGCACGAAAGCUAGGGUAGCGAACGGG
This 253-nucleotide ribosomal RNA is filed under the name uncultured bacterium. RNAcentral's name for it is "partial 16S ribosomal RNA". It matches the Rfam family "Bacterial small subunit ribosomal RNA", at positions 524 to 776 of the family's 1533-position model. The record is from RNAcentral.